UAGAGAGAGAUCCUCGCAGGGCGGCAGGCGGCACCGGACGCUGGCAGAAGGUUCUGGUCCACCCUUGUCGCCAGACGAUGUCUUUUUGGGUUGCGUACUUGGAUUUUUUCACAAUCACCAAAACCCCUUAAGAAAAAGCACCGGCCGCCUGGCCACCCUGCAAGGAUAUUACUCUGUGUGAGAGGUCGAAUUCAACGAACAAAACGGAAACGGAAAUUACAUUCCAAGCUCUGGACCGAGUGUGAUCGUGACUUGUUCUAUCCCUUGGGUUCGUAGAAGUAAAUUGUGUUCGAAAAGUGGAAUUUUUUCCUACAUGCUGUCCCAUAUUUAAGUACAUGUGUGGAGUUAAAAACAGAAAUAGAAAGCUUUAAAGAUAGAAAAACCCUGAUUCAACAAAAGAACCAAGAUGGGAAGCACUGU
Long non-coding RNA from Uloborus diversus, 420 nucleotides. RefSeq lists it as uncharacterized. The record is from RefSeq and is a predicted model, not a curated record. NCBI's taxonomy places the organism in Eukaryota, Metazoa, Arthropoda, Arachnida, Araneae, Uloboridae. The transcript is spliced from 3 exons.